This 468-nucleotide ribosomal RNA is filed under the name uncultured bacterium. Its description in RNAcentral is "partial 16S ribosomal RNA". It matches the Rfam family "Bacterial small subunit ribosomal RNA", at positions 28 to 507 of the family's 1533-position model. The record is from RNAcentral.
GACGAACGCUGGCGGCGUGCUUAACACAUGCAAGUCGAACGGAAAGGCCCUGCUUUUGUUGGGUGCUCGAUUGGCGAACGGGUGAGUAACACGUGAGUAACCUGCCCUUGACUUUGUGAUAACUUCAGGAAACUGGGGCUAAUACCGGAUAUGAGCUCCAGCUGCAUGGUGGUGGUUGGAAAGUUUCGGCGGUUGGGGAUGGACUCGCGGCUUAUCAGCUUGUUUGUGGGGUAGUGGCGUACCAAGGGUUUGACGGGUAGCCGGCCUUGGAGGGUGAACGGCCACAUUGGGACUGAGAGACGGACCAGAAUGCUACGGGAGGCAGCAGUGGGGAAUAUGGCAGAAUGGGCGGAAGCGUGAUGCAGCAACGCCGCGUGCGGGAUGAUGGCUUUCGGGUUGUAAACCGAUUUCGACUGUGACGAAGAGUGAGUGACGGUAAUGGGUAAAGAAGCAACGGCUAACUACGUG